AUCAUACGAAUUUCGUCUAACAAAGACCAUUUCGCUGCAUUCAAAUCUUUGUCUACUCCAUAUCCCACAUGACCUAAAGCAGGGCACAUCGUUAACGUCAACAUUAUCUACACACACACAAUUGAAAUUAAGAUAGAUGAGAUAACAAAUAAUAUAAAUAGUACAUAGUACAUUAAGGGAAAAUAGUGGAUAGUGCAUUUCAGAUAAUGUGAAAAUAGUGCAUUUCAGAUAAUGUGAAAAUAGUGCAUACUGCAUUUCAGAUAAAUAGUGCAUAUUACGGAAUUCAUGAGAGUUAAGUCCAACGAUUAUUUUCUUACCAUUAGUUGACGAACUCCCUAAUCCCGACCUUUUCUUUGUUGCCUUCUUCUUGAAUAACGACCUACAAACAUUAAACAUUAUACAAUUGCAAAAAGAAAUCAUAACACCAAAUUAUUGUGGACAUUUGGUACACUAUGUAAUAUGUACUAUGCACUAUGAUAUAGCCAUAAAUAACAAUGAAAAUAAGGGAGGUAAAAAAUAAAUUAAAAUGUUUGUGUCUGUUACACAUUUUAAUCAAAACACAUUCGUAAAUCAGAAUUGUGCCUGAUAAAGAUUAGUGGCCUAACACAUUUGGUGGCCAAUAAAGAUUUGUGGUCGAUAAAAAAUGAAAAACAGUGAUUUUGAUAUAAAAAUUUCAAAACAAGUUUGAAAAAUUUUAAUCUUCGGAAAUAUGGGAAAAUAUAAAGAUCAACAACAAGGGAAAAUUAUGAAAUACUAAAAAAGCAGUGAAACAAAAAACGUAAACAAAAAAAAAAUACCGAAACAACUAGAGACUAGGUGAAAAGAUGAGGAAAUGAGGGAUCAUGGAAAUGAAAUAAGAAACUAAACAUGAUCUUAGGGAAAAGGAAAAAAUUUAAAUGAGGGAUAAUAAAAAAUCAGUAUCCAUUUUUAAGAUUGAAAUGAUCGAAAACAGGGGAAAAACCAAGAUCAACAUAGUGAAAAAACAGGAUAAACGUGAAAUAGCAAAACAGCAAUAAAAUAAAAAAUAUGUAAAACAAACCAAAAAUAACAAUACUGCUAGAGACUAGGUGAAAACAAGAGGAAAUGAGGGAUCAUGGAAAUGAAAUAAAAACCUAAACCCAACCAUAGGGAAAACGAAAUAAUUAAGUAAACCCCAUUCUAAGAUCAUGGAAAUGAGUGAUAAAAAGAUACAAGAAAACCCAUUCUAAAGAUCAAAUAGAUAAGGUCAAUGAGGGAUAAAAACAAAUCAGAACCCAUUUGUUAGAAUUUAAUUUUCGAAAAGAGGGGAAAAAAACAGAAACAACAAUGGAACAACAUGAAAUACCAAAUCAGCAAUGGAAAAAAAAAAUUAUAAAACUAGUUUCCUCAUCCAGGUCGGGUCAUUUAUGAUUUCCUGGGGUUCAAAUAGGAAUAAUACGAUGCCAAGAUCAAGUGGGGAAGAAUAAUUGACCAACUAAGGGUAAAAACAGAGGGGAAGACCGAUGAAAAUCCAACCACACAACACACCAAAACCAUCGGAAAAUCGAACAAGGAAAUAUUCAAUCAGGAUACAUACCGAAUAGUUGAUGAUGGCGACCUGGCAGGUGGCUUCCCGUUACGCUCGCCGCUUGGGUUCGACAUGGUAAACUUGGAGAUGAUGUGCGGUAACUGUUGGGAAAGAAAUCGUCGCUAGGAAGAAAUCGCCGUUGGAGGAUGUUCAAAAUCGAGAGAUGAAUGCGUGUAGAAAAUGAGGGUUUCAGAAUAGGAAUAAUAAAUUGGGAUUUGCACAAUCACCUCCUCCUUCCAUCCAUCGGUCUAUAGGAUGUUCUAUGUACUUCCUCUGUCGGUGUGUCAUAAACUCCCAAUCAAAGCUUGCAUUUCAUACGAAGGGUCAGCAUUCAAACUCAAGAAUUGG
Molecule: long non-coding RNA, 1894 nt
Filed under: Zostera marina
Lineage: Eukaryota; Viridiplantae; Streptophyta; Magnoliopsida; Alismatales; Zosteraceae
Description: long non-coding RNA (ZMAR_LNC004439)
Source: RNAcentral